CACAUUCAAGUAAUUAGUUCAAGUCACAAAAGUUCACAUUCCACAUAUUAACACCUAAACAUUUUCAAGUCACUAAUUCACUUCACAAGUUACCAAACUAAACUAAAGUCAAAUGAAAAGUUCACGUUUCCAGUACCUACACUUAAACAUUUUGAAGUCACUAAUUCACUUCUCAAGUGAGCACACUUUACUAAAAUCAAAACGCAAGUUCACAUUUCAAGUACCUAAAUUCAAAACAAAAGUCACUAAUCCAUAAUUCAAGUAACUACACUUAAACAUUUCAAGUCACUAAGUCACUUCACAAAUUAUCUAACUAAACUAAAUUCGAAAUGAAAAGUUCACAUUUCAAGUACCUAACACCUAAACAUUUUCAAGUCACUAAUUCGCUUCGCAAAUUAGCAAACUAAACUUAAAUUCAAAAUGAAAAGUUCACAUUUCAAGUACCUACACCUAAACAUUUUCAAGUCACU
Molecule: long non-coding RNA, 470 nt
Filed under: Capsicum annuum
Lineage: Eukaryota; Viridiplantae; Streptophyta; Magnoliopsida; Solanales; Solanaceae
Description: long non-coding RNA (CANN_LNC005906)
Source: RNAcentral